RNAcentral lists this ribosomal RNA (197 nucleotides) under uncultured Methanomicrobiales archaeon. Its description in RNAcentral is "partial 16S ribosomal RNA". It matches the Rfam family "Archaeal small subunit ribosomal RNA", at positions 1142 to 1338 of the family's 1478-position model. The record is from RNAcentral. Lineage: Archaea; Methanobacteriati; Methanobacteriota; Methanomicrobia; Methanomicrobiales.
UAGGUCAGCAUGCCCCGAAUUAUCUGGGCUACACGCGGGCUACAAUGGGUGGGACAAUGGGUAUCGACACCGAAAGGUGAAGGCAAUCUCCUAAACCCAUCCGUAGUUCGGAUUGUGGGCUGCAACUCGCCCACAUGAAGCUGGAAUCUGUAGUAAUCGUGUCUCAAAAUGGCACGGUGAAUAUGUCCCUGCUCCUU